Molecule: long non-coding RNA, 1014 nt
Organism: Mastomys coucha (southern multimammate mouse)
Lineage: Eukaryota; Metazoa; Chordata; Mammalia; Rodentia; Muridae
Exons: 2
Source: RefSeq, a predicted model, not a curated record
UUCACUAAUACUGGAAUAUACCAGUGAGAAUCACAAUUAUCAAUUUCUCUAUUUCUUCUGAUAGCCACUGUUAAUGAUACCUUCUUCAGGGAUAAAUUUCACACUACCAGUUUUAACUACAAGAAAAACUGAAAAAUCAAGUAUCUGAAGAAUGGAUAACAACAUCGCUGGGAUCAGCUCACUGUAAUCUUUCUUAUCUCCUGGGCUGGAAACAGCUGCAGCUCUUAACUAGACUAACAUUCUGCUGCUGGGUACGAGGGUGGUCAGUCACUAGGUGCUGAGUAUCAACUAACAUUAUGCAUCAGGCUCCCUCACCUCGGCGGUGCAGUUCCUUCAGUUCCUCUCAGCCACCUAAGUCUUCCCCCAGACUCCAUCUCCACAUACUGUAUUGUCUAUAAUGUAGUGACUGGCUUUACAUGAAUGGUGGCAGACUACAGACACUGCUCUGCACUUCACUUUUUUUCUUUUAACAAAAUAACUUGUAGAGUUGUUCCAUUUUGAUAUAUGAUAAAGCCACCUCCUUUGUAUUAGGUGGUAUGUGAUAUCUACUUCUGGUGCUGACAAAUAACUGCCAUCCUUGGCCAUCUCAGUCAAACCACUGAAGAACCACUUCAGGAAAGAAGGGGAACCAUAAGUGAGAAGAGCUCUCAUGACACCAUCUGGUGAGACCAGGACAGUGCAAGGCCGGGAACCUGCGAGCAUCCUCAUUGCUGCUGGAGAAAAUCAAGGAAGGCUGAGUCAUCAAAGUCACUCACUCUCUUUAUGGCCAAAGGACAACUGUCCACGCAGGAGACACUCACAACCUGUCUGAUGACUAAACCAAAAAAUGAUCCAGAAGAGUCAGGUUUUCUAAGUGUGAGGUGUUAAUAAUGUCUACCAAUACACUUUGUUUCUAUGAUUAACUUUUAUAGUUCCAUAAGAGAUAAAUGAUCACAAGAGUUCUUUCAGUGAAAACAAAGUAAAAAUUCCAAGUCCAGUAUUGUACAUGUAUAAUACAUAUGGACACAGUGUGUA